This 463-nucleotide ribosomal RNA is filed under the name uncultured bacterium. RNAcentral describes it as "partial 16S ribosomal RNA". It matches the Rfam family "Bacterial small subunit ribosomal RNA", at positions 30 to 507 of the family's 1533-position model. The record is from RNAcentral.
CGAACGCUGGCGGCGUGCUUAACACAUGCAAGUCGAACGGCAAGGCCCCUUUGGGGGUACUCGAGUGGCGAACGGGUGAGUAACACGUGAGUAACCUGCCCUUGACUUCGGGAUAACUUCAGGAAACUGGGGCUAAUACCGGAUAGGAAUCCUUGCUGCAUGGUGGGGGUUGGAAAGCUUCGGCGGUUUUGGAUGGACUCGCGGCUUAUCAGCUUGUUGGUGGGGUAGUGGCUUACCAAGGCUUUGACGGGUAGCCGGCCUGAGAGGGCGACCGGCCACAUUGGGACUGAGAUACGGCCCAGACUCCUACGGGAGGCAGCAGUGGGGAAUAUUGCACAAUGGGCGGAAGCCUGAUGCAGCAACGCCGCGUGCGGGAUGACGGCCUUCGGGCUGUAAACCGCUUUCAGCAGGGGCGAAGCUUGUGGUGACGGUACCUGCAGAAGAAGCACCGGCUAACUACGUG